RNAcentral lists this long non-coding RNA (491 nucleotides) under Rattus norvegicus (Norway rat). RNAcentral describes it as "long non-coding RNA NONRATT010618". Lineage: Eukaryota; Metazoa; Chordata; Mammalia; Rodentia; Muridae. The record is from RNAcentral.
AAUGGCACAGCAUUAAGUUGGGGGAAGAGGUGAAGAAGAAUAGAGAAGUAGAUGCAGAAAGGGUUCAUAUCCAAUUUCAUUUUAAACGAAGAGGAAAGGGGGUACUCAGUCACUGAAAAGUGGGGAUCAUGAAAGUCAGUGGCUUCAUUUGAAGAUCAUAGGGAAUUCCCAACACCUUGGUCCGAGGAGAAACUCAAGAAACAGCUACUGUGGCAUCUUGAGAUCAGAUCCUCAUCCCCAUGACAGAGAUCUCAGAAUCCAGAAGGUAAGAAGCAGAACUGAGAUCCCAGUGCUGUGUAGGGGGCAUAGCACAUGCUAUAAGCCCAGGCCUCAGUUGGCCAAGAAAGGAGGAGUGUGUUUUCUGGUCCAGCCUGGCCUAUAUACUGAGCACAAGAAAAGCCAGGGUUAAAAGUUACUUGAAAUGGCCUCCAACAAAGAUAUCUGCCUGCCUCUGUCUCUUUAGUGCCAACAUGCCCAGCUUAAAAAAAAAA